GAUGAACGCUAGCGGCAGGCUUAACGCAUGCAAGUCGAGGGGUAUAGUUCUUCGGAACUAGAGACGGGCGCACGGGUGCGUAACGCGUAUGUAAUCUACCUUUUACAGGGGGAUAGCCCAGAGAAAUCUGGAUUAAUACACCAUAGUAUGUUGUUGUGGAAUCACGAGAACAUUAAAUUUCCAACGGUAAAAGAUGAGCAUGCGUCACAUUAGCUAGAUGGUAAGGUAACGGCUUACCAUGGCUACGAUGGGUAGGGGUCCUGAGAGGGAGAUCCCCCACACUGGUACUGAGACACGGACCAGACUCCUACGGGAGGCAGCAGUGAGGAAUAUUGGACAAUGGGCGCAAGCCUGAUCCAGCCAUGCCGCGUGCAGGAUGACGGUCCUAUGGAUUGUAAACUGCUUUUGUACAGGAAGAAACACUCCCUCGUGAGGGAGCUUGACGGUACUGUAAGAAUAAGGAUCGGCUAACUCCGUGCCAGCAGCCGCGGUAA
Molecule: ribosomal RNA, 494 nt
Filed under: uncultured bacterium
Lineage: Bacteria
Description: partial 16S ribosomal RNA
Rfam family: Bacterial small subunit ribosomal RNA
Source: RNAcentral